GACGUAGGGGGCAAGCGUUGUCCGGAUUUAUUGGGCGUAAAGAGCGUGUAGGCGGCUUGGUAGGUCUGCUGUGAAAACUCGAGGCUCAACCUCGAGCUGUCGGCGGAAACCACUUGGCUAGAGUCCGGAAGAGGAGAGUGGAAUUCCUGGUGUAGCGGUGAAAUGCGCAGAUAUCAGGAAGAACACCUAUGGCGAAGGCAGCUCUCUGGGACGGUACUGACGCUGAGACGCGAAAGCGUGGGGAGCGAACAGG
Molecule: ribosomal RNA, 253 nt
Filed under: uncultured bacterium
Lineage: Bacteria
Description: partial 16S ribosomal RNA
Rfam family: Bacterial small subunit ribosomal RNA
Source: RNAcentral